RNAcentral lists this ribosomal RNA (1419 nucleotides) under Necatapion bruleriei. RNAcentral describes it as "partial 16S ribosomal RNA". Lineage: Eukaryota; Metazoa; Arthropoda; Insecta; Coleoptera; Brentidae. The record is from RNAcentral.
UCUCUUCAGAGGAACCUGUCCUGUAAUUGAUGAUCCACAAUUUUAUAUACUUAUUUUAUUAAUUUACAUAUCGCCGUAGUUUGAAUAUUUUAAUAGAAUUAUAAUAUUCAAUAUUUUAAAUUAAAUAAUAAAUCAGGUCAAGGUGUAGUUUAUAAAUAAGAAGAGAUGGGUUACAAUUAAUUUAUUAAAAUGGAUAAUUAUUUGAAAAAUUAAUUUAAAAGUGGAUUUGAAAGUAAUUUUUAUUAAAUAAUAAAAAUGAUUUUAGCUCUAAAAUAUGCACAUAUCGCCCGUCAUUUUCACUAUAAAGUGAAACAAGUCGUAACAUAGUAGGUGUACUGGAAAGUGUACCUAGAAUGACAAAUUAGAGCUUGUUAUAAAGCAUUUUAGUUACAUUAAAAAGUUUAUUGUGAAAGUCAAUAUAAUUUGAAUAUUAUUUAUUAUUAAAAUUUUAAUAUUAUUUUAAUUUAAAUAAAAUAAUUUAUGGUUUUAUUAUAAAAUAGAAUAAAUUUUUUUAUUAUAGUUUAUUAGUAUUGUGAAAUAAUUAAUUUUUAUAAUUUUAAGAAUAAUUUAUUUUUAGUACCUUGUGCAUUCGCCUGUUUAUCAAAAACAUGGCUUUUUGAGUAUAAUUUAAAGUUUAACCUGCCCAAUGAGUAGUUAAAUGGCCGCGGUAUUUUGACCGUGCAAAGGUAGCAUAAUCAUUUGUUUUUUAAUUGAAAGCUGGAAUGAAAGGUUGGAUGAGAAAAUAACUGUCUCUAUUUAAAUUUUUUAGAAAUUUAUUUUUAAGUUAAAAAGCUUAAAUAAUCUUUGAAGACGAGAAGACCCUAUAGAGUUUUAUAUUUGAAAUAUUUAAUAAAUUUAGAAUUUUUAAAUUUAAUUAUUUUAAGUAUUUAAUUGGGGUGAUUAAAAAAUUUAUUAAACUUUUUUUGUAUAAAAUCAUUAAUUAAUGAAAAUUUGAUCCUUAAUAGAUUAAAAGAAUAAAUUACCUUAGGGAUAACAGCGUAAUUUUUUUUUAGAGUUCAAAUUAAAAAAAAAGAUUGCGACCUCGAUGUUGGAUUAAAAUUAAUUAUUGGUGUAGCAGCUAAAUAAAUUGGGUCUGUUCGACCCUUAAAAUUUUACUUGAUCUGAGUUCAAACCGGUGUGAGCCAGGUUGGUUUCUAUCUCAAAUUAAUUAAUAUAUUUUAGUACGAAAGGACCAAAUAUUUGAUAAAUUAUUUUAUUUUAGAUUAAAAUUAAUGUUAUUUUGGCAGAAUAGUGCGAUAGAUUUAGAAUCUUUAUAUGUAAUUUUUACAAAUAAUACUUGUUAUUUAAGGAUUUAGUAAUAAUAAUAAUUUCUAGAGUAAUUUUGGCAUUAAGAGUUAUAUUAGGUGUAGCAUUUUUAACUUUAUUAGAACGUAAAGUUUUAGGAUAUAUUCAAAUUCG